UACCAGCACCCCGAGUGGUCGGGACGAUUAUUGGGCCUAAAGCAUCCGUAGCCGGUUCUACAAGUCUUCCGUUAAAUCCACCUGCUUAACAGAUGGGCUGCGGAGGAUACUAUGGAGCUAGGAGGCGGGAGAGGCAAGCGGUACUUAGUGGGUAGGGGUAAAAUCCGUUGGUCCAUUGAAGACCACCAGUGGCGAAGGCGGCUUGCCAGAACGCACUCGACGGUGAGGGAUGAAAGCUGGGGGAGCAAACCGG
RNAcentral lists this ribosomal RNA (253 nucleotides) under uncultured bacterium. RNAcentral describes it as "partial 16S ribosomal RNA". It matches the Rfam family "Archaeal small subunit ribosomal RNA", at positions 474 to 727 of the family's 1478-position model. The record is from RNAcentral.